RNAcentral lists this ribosomal RNA (629 nucleotides) under uncultured archaeon. Its description in RNAcentral is "bacterial SSU rRNA". It matches the Rfam family "Archaeal small subunit ribosomal RNA", at positions 25 to 656 of the family's 1478-position model. The record is from RNAcentral.
UACUGCUAUCGGUGUUCGACUAAGCCAUGCUAGUUAAAUGUUCUUCGUGAACAUAGCGGACUGCUCAGUAACACGUGGACAAUCUGCCCUUGGGUUCAGCAUAACCCCGGGAAACUGGGGAUAAUUCUGAAUAGAUCACAUAUGCUGGAAUGCUUUGUGAUUAAAAGAUCCGUCGCCCAAGGAUGGGUCUGCGGCCUAUCAGGUUGUAGUGGGUCUAGAGUACCUACUAGCCAACGACGGGUACGGGUUGUGAGAGCAAGAGCCCGGAGAUGGAUUCUGAGACAUUAAUCCAGGCCCUACGGGGCGCAGCAGGCGCGAAACCUUUACACUGCGGGAAACCGCGAUAAGGGGACACCGAGUGCCAGCAUACAAUGCUGGCUGUCCACAUGUGUAAAUAGCAUGUGAUAGCAAGGGCCGGGCAAGACCGGUGCCAGCCGCCGCGGUAACACCGGCGGCCCGAGUGGUAAUCACUAUUAUUGGGUCUAAAGGGUCCGUAGCCGGUUUAAUCAGUCUUCCGGGAAAUCUGACAGCUCAACUGUUAGGCUACCGGGGGAUACUGUUAGACUUGGGACCGGGAGAGGUAAGAGGUACUACAGGGGUAGGAGUGAAAUCUUGUAAUCCCUGUGGGA